GGAGUUCUAGUUUAUUUAAAACAUACGCUUGUCGAGCGUAAAAUAUCAAAUGAUGUUCUCUU
Molecule: transfer RNA, 62 nt
Filed under: Dendronereis chipolini
Lineage: Eukaryota; Metazoa; Annelida; Polychaeta; Phyllodocida; Nereididae
Description: tRNA-Asp
Source: RNAcentral